RNAcentral lists this long non-coding RNA (1622 nucleotides) under Homo sapiens (human). RNAcentral's name for it is "HSALNT0394617". Lineage: Eukaryota; Metazoa; Chordata; Mammalia; Primates; Hominidae. The record is from RNAcentral.
ACCUGCUUAAAAGGAAAGAGAAACCAGAGUGAAUUAUGACUCUUGCCCAGUUUUUGGUUGAAUACUGCCUGCAUGCUGCUACAAUGCCCCUUUUACAGAACAUUGUCUAACAUGUAAAUAUUCUGGAAUAGUACCCCCAAAUUCAACUUGACAUGAAGACAAGAACAAAACCAUUCAGUACUGAUUAAAUGCUUGGGAUAAUGUGCAACAAUCUAGAUGAUCCAAAGAGUAUUUGAUGACAUUGCAUUAAUGACCUUAAGUUAAUAGCUGCACCCUUCUGGUUACCGCUAGAACUGAGCUUUCGCUCGCCGUCCACCACUGCUGUUUUGCUGCCGUCGCAGACCCGCCGCUGACUUCCAUCCCUCCAAUCCAGCAGGGCGCCCGCUGUGCUCCUGAUCCAGGGAAGCACCCGUUGCCACUCCUGAUCGCGCUAAAGGCUUGCCAUUGUUCCUGCAUGGCUAAGUGCCUGGUUUCGUCCUAAUCAAGCUGAACACUAGUCACUGGGUUCCACGGUUCUCUUCCGUGACCCACGACUUCUAAUAGAGCUAUAACACUCACCGCACGGCCCAAGAUUCCAUUCCUUGGAAUCCGUGAGGCCAAGAACCCCAGGUCAGAGAACACGAGGCUUGCCACCAUCUUGGAAGUGGCCUGCCGCCAUUUUGGAAGUGGCCCACCACCAUCUUGGGAGCUCUGGGAGCAAGGACCCCUGGCAUCUGGAUAUUAAGACUGUCUCCAGCCCUUUGAGGUUGAGAGAGGAAGCAAGCACGGAGGAAUGGAUUUGACAACCCACAUGUCCGUGACUCAAAGCAAGCAAGGCCUUGCACAACCAACUCGCCACCCACACAAUCUGCACAGUCUCAGUGAGAAAGCAGGAGCAGGGAGCUCUCCGCUGAGAGUGAAGAAAUGUCCUCAACUCGACUUCUCUGCAGUGUGCAUGUGUGUGAAACACAGACACACACGGGAGGAAUUUGGCUCUGUCAUUUUAGUGUACCAAAGAAAAAAAAACAGGGAGAAAUCACUUGUUUGAAGCCCUAAAUGACAUAAGGAAGAUUUUCCCAGAUCUAAAUAAUGAUCCCUAAGGUCAGGUGCUGUGUAUGGUAUGGAUUUGGAAACUUCAUAAUGUCUCUGACCACCACUCCAGGACACUGCAGACAGGUGUGCAUUUACUCAGCAUCCAGUAAACACCUGCAAGGUGCAGAGUACUACACUAGGCACAGGGAACAGAGCUACUGACUGACUGCCAGAGUUUCGAAGAAUACAGAUAAGUCAACUAUUAAAGCUAGGAAACAGACCGGAUGCGGUGGCUCACGCCUGUAAUCCCAGCACUUUGGAAGACCGAGGCGGGUGGAUCAACUGAGGUCAAGAGUUCAAGACCAGCCUGCCAACAUGGUGAAACUCCGUCCCUAUUAAUAAUACAAAAAAAUUAGCUGGGCAUGGUGGCACAUGCCUGUAAUCCCAGCUAUUCGGGAGGCUGAGGCAGGAGAAUUGCUUGAACCCAGGAGGCUGCAGUGAGCUGAGAUCGCGCCAUUGCACUCCAGCCUGGGCAACAAGAGCGAAACUCUGCCUCCAAUAAAUAAAUAAAUAAAAUAAAAUAAAAUAAAAUAAAGCCAUAAAACAGUAAA